AAGAUUUUAAGUUAACUAAAAACUAUUUGCCUUCAAAGCAAAAAAUAAAAAAAAAAAUUAAAUCUUA
RNAcentral lists this transfer RNA (67 nucleotides) under Ixodes woyliei. RNAcentral describes it as "tRNA-Trp". The record is from RNAcentral. Lineage: Eukaryota; Metazoa; Arthropoda; Arachnida; Ixodida; Ixodidae.